CACAGCCUAGCCUGAUGGAUUCACAGUGCUGAUCAAACAGCUGUCCACAUCAGUUGUAUGAAAGUCCAAUUUUGCAUUUAUUGUCUAUCCAGCAGAAGCCAGAAUUCAUGUAUUGCAGGCAGAACCCCAAGCAGCCAGCUAAUGAGCAGAUGAAUGGAAAAAGAGGAGAUGCACAGAAGGAACUUUGAAACUUAUUUUACUAUAUAUACAAAGAGCACCUUUCAUCUGAAGACAUGAAGCAACUCUGAAACUGAGGCCCAAAGUUCUUCACAAAAGUAGGUGUUACCCUCACUUUAUAGAUGUGGAAAAUGAGCCACAGUCAGAAGUUGCUUAACCAAGGUCACACUGUGAGUCGUUGAAAAGCAAAGCCAAGGAUAGAAACAAGAAGGCCCUCUCAGUGAUUGGAUCCUAUCACUAGACCUCACUCACAGAAAUGCUAAUAACUAACUGGUGGCUCAAGAACACGGAAGUGGAUUCCUCCAUUGUGUAAGAUAAGUCUAAGAAGCUUCACACUUUAACUUUUGCCGGGGUUGUGAUAAUGUCACCACUGAAUUGUACAAUCUUGGUCUAUUAUUUAUCAGACCAGUAUUCUUCUUAGUGAAAGAUAGGACUAGUCGCAAACAUUCCACAUGGAAGAAAAUAUUCAUUUGUAGUACAAUGAACUUCUGUGAACUUAGGAGACAGAGUGCUUUAGUCUCACAGCAGAAGUCUGAGACAGCUAUGCUGGGAGUUCAUAUUGUAUUUAAUUCCAGUUGGCUAAAUAUCAGUGUCUGUAUUUCAGAAAAAGCUUUAUAAAAAGUUUUAUACUUUUUAAAACUUUCAGUACAGUUUAAAUCAGGUUUUUUAUUUCUCUGGACUACAAAAGAACCUUUUUAUAAUAUUGCCUUCAACUAGUAUUCCUUAAUCCUUACCUUUGAGGAGCAAAAGUCUGACUUUCUGGAUAGACUCCAGUCCACUGAAAAACUACUUUUCAUUACUAAAGUAGACAAUUGUCCAAUAAAACAAGGCAAAGAAAUAUAUAUCUUGCAAAUAGCUCCAAAUUCAGUAGUCAUGACUUAUUCAACCUCAAUAAAAUGCUUUGUACAAAUCAGCAAAUAAAAGCUUCCUUUACUGGCUUGCACAAAGUGAUUUGUAUUGGAACAUAGUUUUAUAAUGUGGUAUCAAGCCUGGAAAUGUAUUGAAUCAAAGCUUUGUAAUCUGUUCAUGAAUGAAUAAGACUGUAUAACAGGAAAAACUUUUCUAAAUACAAUAACAGAGUUUUAGAAAAUGUCACCUACUAAAUUAUACAACCAUCUGAAUAAGCCCAUUGAAUUCAGAAAUUUGGAAACUGGCAUUUGUAUGUAUGCAGCUCUUAACAAUUUGCACAUUUCAUUUUAUGCAAGAGGUUCCCAGAGUGCUUUACAAAUAUGAAUGAAGCCUCACAAAGAGCCUUGUGAGGUUGUUAAGCGUUGUUAUACUCUUUUAAAUAUAUGUAAACUGAGGCACAGAGAGGCUGAGUGAUAUGCUGAAGGCCACACAGCAAAUUCUAGAAAACUCUUCAACUCAUCUAUUCAGUGAUCUCCAAUCCAUCUCCUCAUUUAUCCCUCCCUGAGUACCAUUGACUCUACUCCACUCUCUAGAAACUCAGCUCCCUCUCCAAUUUGGACUCUGAGGUCCACUCCCUUCUGCACACCUCACUUUCUCCCUUAGUUCCUGGCAUAUCAUUUUCUACCUUAUCCCUAAACCAGACUCCAACUUCUGUCCCCUGACCUUAUAGCUGAACAAAGGAUAACAUAUAUAUUUAUUUUAUACAGGCCUAGGAAGCAAUACAUUAGAGUAUCUUUAAAAAUUAUUUAUGCUAUAAUUUGUUAUGAAGAAAUAUUGAGACUUUUUAAAAAACCAAGUAGAGUGAUGGUACAGAAAAUUAUUUUAUGCAAAAGAUUAAGUUUAAGUGAACACUAUAUGCUUUGCAUGUUGCAGCAUUUUUUAAUCUAGCACUUUCUGUCAGUUAUGUUGUCUUUAGAAAUAAACACACACACACACUACACUUUUACCAAGCCCUAGACAUGUAUUACUUCUUCCAUGGUAUUUUUUCAUUAAAUACCCCUACUAGUAAGCUGGCUUCUUAUCCUCAAUUAAAAACACAUGCCUUUACACAGCUCUACACAAUAUCAGUAUAUUAAUAUUAACCUAAAUACAAAGACAUAUGUCUGAUAAGAGCCUGAGAAUUUCUUUGGAGCACUACAAGUAGCAUUUGAGUAUCUAGUCUUAUUUUUUUCUACCAUGCUUCAAUGUUCCUAUGUAUUUUUAAUCACAAUAAGUGAUUUCAUUUUAAAUAUAAUAUUAUUUUAAAACAGAUUUCUAAAAUAUGAACUUGAACAGGAGGAAGCCAAGAAAUAUUUUUAGCUCUUACAUUAGCAUUGCAGUUUUUUGCUAUCACACUGAGCUCCCAGAAAUACUAUAGUUAAUUUUCUAACUGUGAUCCAUCCACGCACAUCAGUCCUCAGCAAACAAAGGUUUUUUCAACAUUGUUCCUCUGCUUCAUGCUGAAGAGUUUAGCUGGUAUCUUGCUAUACCUGGCAGAAAUAAGUUAGUGAGGCAAAAUCAUUCAUUACCUUGUUAAAUUUACCACCAGGGUUAAAUCUGCUAUAAUAGCAGUUCUAAAAUGUUAGCAACCCAACGCCCCCCAUUUUGAUUUAAAAAUUUUUCACAGACUCCGAAACCUCCUGCUCAGCCCCAAGCCCUGCCCCCAUUCCACCCCUUCCACCAAGGCCCCACCUCCAGCCCAGCUCUUCCCGUCCUCACUCCACAACUGCCCCUCUUCCCCGCCUCUUUCCGCCGCCUCCCCCAAGUGCGUCCCAUCCCCACUCCUCCCUGUCCCUCCCAGCACCUCCUGCAUGCCUCUGAACAGGUGUUCAGCAGUGUGCAGGAGGUGCUGUGAGAAAGGGGGAGGAGUUGAGGGAGAGAGGGUAAGGUUUGAUCAGCGGGGCCCGUGGACUCCCUGGAGCACCCUUGUGGACCUCCAGGGGUUACCCCAGUUUGAGAAAUGCUGUGCUAUAACAUCCUUGACUAGUAUCACUCUGCAGCUUUCUGUUGUCAGUAAUCAACCAGUUAAAAAGAUAUGUCUUAGUAUCAGAGAAGUUCUGCAAUAUUGAAGUCAAAGCUCGUUACACAAAUAUGAGAAAUCUUUUAGGAAUACAUCAGUAGGUCUACUCCUGUGCAUAAAUGUUUGCAGAAGUGGCACCUUAAAAAUGUAUGUGGUGCCUAUUCUUCACCCACAGAAGGAUUCGUUUCUGUAAUUAAAUCAUAAGCAUAUAAGUGACUGUUAAUCUCUCUCCUCACCUUGCUCUUUGAUGCAUGGCUGUCAUAACCAUACAGCUAAGGGUAGCCUAGAAUUCCUCCUUACCUGUAAGGGGUUAAGAAGCUCAAAUAACCUGGUUGG
Long non-coding RNA from Dermochelys coriacea (leatherback sea turtle), 3421 nucleotides. RefSeq lists it as uncharacterized. The record is from RefSeq and is a predicted model, not a curated record. The transcript is spliced from 3 exons. NCBI's taxonomy places the organism in Eukaryota, Metazoa, Chordata, Testudines, Dermochelyidae.